This 253-nucleotide ribosomal RNA is filed under the name uncultured bacterium. RNAcentral's name for it is "partial 16S ribosomal RNA". It matches the Rfam family "Bacterial small subunit ribosomal RNA", at positions 524 to 776 of the family's 1533-position model. The record is from RNAcentral.
UACGUAGGGUGCGAGCGUUAAUCGGAAUUACUGGGCGUAAAGCGUGCGCAGGCGGUGAGGUAAGACAGAUGUGAAAUCCCCGGGCUCAACCUGGGAACUGCAUUUGUGACUGCAUCGCUGGAGUGCGGCAGAGGGGGAUGGAAUUCCGCGUGUAGCAGUGAAAUGCGUAGAUAUGCGGAGGAACACCGAUGGCGAAGGCAAUCCCCUGGGCCUGCACUGACGCUCAUGCACGAAAGCGUGGGGAGCAAACAGG